This 366-nucleotide ribosomal RNA is filed under the name Triticum aestivum (bread wheat). Its description in RNAcentral is "partial small subunit ribosomal RNA". Lineage: Eukaryota; Viridiplantae; Streptophyta; Magnoliopsida; Poales; Poaceae. The record is from RNAcentral.
AUGAAGAAGGGGAAGAUUUUUAAGCUAGCUAAGGGAUUCAGAGGAAGGGCUAAAAACUGCAUUAGAAUUGCCAGGGAGCGUGUAGAAAAGGCAUUGCAAUAUUCGUAUAGGGAUCGGCGCAUUAAGAGGGACAUGCAAUCUCUCUGGAUCUAGCGCAUCAAUGCUGGUACACGACUCCAUGAGGUGAACUAUGGCAGCAUCAUGCAUGGACUGAUGAAGGAGAAUGUCCAACUCAACAGGAAGGUGCUUUCGGAGCUGUAGAUGCAUGAGCCAUACAACUUCAAGGCUCUCGUUGAUGUAUCUCGCACUGCAUUCCCUGGGAACAGGCCGGCUGCCAAGAAGGAAGGACUAGCAAGUAUUCUAUAA